This 46-nucleotide non-coding RNA is filed under the name Trichobilharzia regenti. The record is from RNAcentral. Lineage: Eukaryota; Metazoa; Platyhelminthes; Trematoda; Strigeidida; Schistosomatidae.
GUACUGCUGAGGAGUCCCAAACUAGGAGGAGACAGAUGUCCAGUAC